This 253-nucleotide ribosomal RNA is filed under the name uncultured bacterium. RNAcentral's name for it is "partial 16S ribosomal RNA". It matches the Rfam family "Bacterial small subunit ribosomal RNA", at positions 524 to 776 of the family's 1533-position model. The record is from RNAcentral.
UACAGAGGGGGCAAGCGUUGUUCGGAAUUACUGGGCGUAAAGGGCGCGUAGGCGGCCUGCUAAGUCGAACGUGAAAUCCCCGGGCUCAACCUGGGAACUGCAUUUGUGACUGCAUCGCUGGAGUGCGGCAGAGGGGGAUGGAAUUCCGCGUGUAGCAGUGAAAUGCGUAGAUAUGCGGAGGAACACCGAUGGCGAAGGCAAUCCCCUGGGCCUGCACUGACGCUCAUGCACGAAAGCGUGGGGAGCAAACAGG